ACGAACCGUGCGAACGUUAUUCGGAAUCACUGGGCUUAAAGCGCGUGUAGGCGGCCCGGCACGUCAUCGGCUGAAAUCCCCCGGCUCAACCGGGGAAGGGGCCAUGAUACGACCGGGCUGGAGGCCGGUAGGGGGCGCCGGAACUCACGGUGGAGCGGUGAAAUGCGUUGAGAUCGUGAGGAACGCCCGUGGCGAAAGCGGGCGCCUGGACCGGGCCUGACGCUGAGACGCGAAAGCCAGGGGAGCGAACGGGA
Molecule: ribosomal RNA, 254 nt
Filed under: uncultured prokaryote
Description: partial 16S ribosomal RNA
Rfam family: Bacterial small subunit ribosomal RNA
Source: RNAcentral